GGUUACCUUGUUACAUACUUCACCCCAAGUCAUGAAUCGCACCGUGGUGACCGUCCUCCUAUGUUAGACUAGCCUCUUCUGGUGCAACCCUCUCCCAUGGUAUGGACUGGCUGUGUGUACAAAGCCCGGGAACGUAUUCGCCAUGACAUUACUGAUUCACGAUUACUAGCGAUUCCGACUUCAUGGGGUCGAGUUGCAGACCCCAAUCCGGACUACGACCGGCUUCUCGGAUUAGCUUCCCCUCUCGGGUUCGCAACCGUUUGUACCGGCCAUUGAU
Molecule: ribosomal RNA, 277 nt
Filed under: uncultured alpha proteobacterium SUR-FREE-28
Lineage: Bacteria; Pseudomonadati; Pseudomonadota; Alphaproteobacteria
Description: partial 16S ribosomal RNA
Source: RNAcentral